GGGGGUUAGCGUUGUUCGGAAUUACUGGGCGUAAAGCGUACGUAGGCGGAUUAGUAAGUUAGAGGUGAAAUCCCAGGGCUCAACCCUGGAACUGCCUUUAAUACUGCUAGUCUAGAGUUCGAGAGAGGUGAGUGGAAUUCCAAGUGUAGAGGUGAAAUUCGUAGAUAUUUGGAGGAACACCAGUGGCGAAGGCGGCUCACUGGCUCGAUACUGACGCUGAGGUACGAAAGUGUGGGGAGCAAACAGGAUUAGAUACCCUGGUAGUCCACACCGUAAACGAUGAAUGCCAGUCGUCGGGUAGUAUACUAUUCGGUGACACACCUAACGGAGUAAGCAUUCCGCCUGGGGAGUACGGUCGCAAGAUUAAAACUCAAAGGAAUUGACGGGGACCCGCACAAGCGGUGGAUGAUGUUCUUUAAUUCGAUGCAACGCGAAAAACCUUACCCACCUUUGACAUGUAUGGAAUCCUUUAGAGAUGAAGGAGUGCUCGAAAGAGAGCCAUAACACAGGUGCUGCAUGGCU
RNAcentral lists this ribosomal RNA (522 nucleotides) under uncultured Paracoccaceae bacterium. Its description in RNAcentral is "bacterial SSU rRNA". It matches the Rfam family "Bacterial small subunit ribosomal RNA", at positions 530 to 1050 of the family's 1533-position model. The record is from RNAcentral. Lineage: Bacteria; Pseudomonadati; Pseudomonadota; Alphaproteobacteria; Rhodobacterales; Paracoccaceae.